This 1355-nucleotide ribosomal RNA is filed under the name Metapenaeopsis dalei. Its description in RNAcentral is "large subunit ribosomal RNA". The stretch from base 648 to 1355 matches the Rfam family "Archaeal large subunit ribosomal RNA", at positions 1423 to 2830 of the family's 2987-position model. The record is from RNAcentral. Lineage: Eukaryota; Metazoa; Arthropoda; Malacostraca; Decapoda; Penaeidae.
AGAAAAUCUUGUUUAUAAUGAUUGUUAAAGUAAAUAAAAAGCUGUUUUAAAACUAUUUUUAUAAAAGCUCUUCUUUUAGUAAGCUGAAUUGAAUUAAAGUUAAAAUAACUAUAGUGAAAAGUACUGUGAAGGAAGGAUGAAAUAUUUUGAAAAAUAAAUUAAUAAAAAGUAAUGUUAAGUAAGUGUACCUUGUGUAUUAGGGAAGACUAAAAUAAUUUUUGAAUAAAAGAAAUCCCGAAAAAAGAAGAGUUAAUUUAAUAUAAAAGUUUUCGUUUUAAUGAAAUUUUUAAUAGUAUUUUAGUGGUGAAAUGCCAGCCGAUUCUUUAUAUCUGGUUAUUGAUGAAUAAAAUUUAAUUUGUUUAUUUUUUUUGAUUAUAAAAAUUAAAAAAUAGAUAAGAAUAGGAGGGAAAAGCCUCUUAUUCUAUUAUAAUUAAAUUAUAGUGUAUAAUGUAUAAAUGAUGUUAAAUUAGGCUCAAAAGCAGCAAUAUUUUUAAAGCGUUCUAGCUAAUAUAGUUUAAAAAUAAUAUUUUUAUAAAAACUUAAUUUUAGUAAUCAAUAUUCUGAAUUAAUAUAAAAUUCAGAGUUAAACUGGUCUUAUUAGUAGAAUUAUGUUGUAUAAAUGAAAUAAUUGAAUGAAAUAAAGAUUGUUAAAAUGUGAAAGAUAUAAUUAAGGAACUCGGCAAACAUUGCUUUUGCCUGUUUAUCAAAAACAUGUCUGUAUGAUUGUUAUAUAGAGUCUAGCCUGCCCACUGAUAAAGUUGAAGGGCCGCGGUAUUCUGACCGUGCGAAGGUAGCAUAAUCAUUAGUCUUUUAAUUGAAGGCUUGUAUGAAUGGUUGGACAAAAAGUGAGCUGUCUCAAUUAUAUUAUUUGAAGUUAACUUUUAAGUGAAAAGGCUUAAAUAAAUUAGAGGGACGAUAAGACCCUAUAAAGCUUUACAAUUAUUUAGUUAAGUUAUAAAUUGUUGGUCUAACUUAAUUUAAUUAAUAUUUGUUUCGUUGGGGCGACGAGAAUAAAAUUAAGUAACUGUUCUUUUGUAAAUAAUUACAAAUCUAUUUGGUAAAAAAUUGAUCCUUUAUUAAAGAUUAAAAGAUUAAGUUACUUUAGGGAUAACAGCGUAAUCUUCUUUGAGAGUCCAUAUCGACAAGAAGGGUUGCGACCUCGAUGUUGAAUUAAAGUAUCCUUAUGGUGUAGCAGUUGUAAGGGAGGGUCUGUUCGACCUUUAAUUCUUUACAUGAUUUGAGUUCAGACCGGCGUAAGCCAGGUCGGUUUCUAUCUUCUAAAUAUAAAAAAUCACCUUAGUACGAAAGGAUUAGGUGGUUAGAAAACUUCUUUUAAAGUAGAAUAAUUUUAAUAG